RNAcentral lists this ribosomal RNA (253 nucleotides) under uncultured bacterium. Its description in RNAcentral is "partial 16S ribosomal RNA". It matches the Rfam family "Bacterial small subunit ribosomal RNA", at positions 524 to 776 of the family's 1533-position model. The record is from RNAcentral.
CACGAAGGGGGCUAGCGUUGUUCGGAAUCACUGGGCGGAAAGCGCACGUAAGCGGAUGUGUCAGUCAGGGGUGACAUCCCGGGGCUCAAACUCGGAACUGCCUCUGAUACAGCACGUCUUGAGUCCGGAAGAGGUGGGUGGAAUUCCUAGUGUAGAGGUGAAAUUCGUAGUUAUUAGGAAGAACACCGGUGGCGAAGGCGACCCACUUGUCCGGUACUGACCCUGAGGUGUGAAAGCGUCGGGAGCAAACAGG